UUGGUUAUUAUAUUUUAAGAUAUACGUAUGUAAAAGAAUUGCUAUUUACAAGCAUCAAUAAAGAUUUGAAAUUAAAUUAAAAUUAAAGCUAAAGUUAAAAUAAAUCAAAAUAAGAAGCUAAAUCAAACCGCAAAACUACAAAAAUUCUUAAAACUGUAACAAAUUUUAGUUUCAAAUUUUCUUCCUAAAAGUUAAAGAAUCAAAAAUUUCAUUCCGAUUUCAAUCAGCAUUUGAACCGAAACCAAACACUUCUAGUUUUAAGUUGGUAGACCAUGUCUAAAAUGAGUGUAAAAUGAGAUUUAUAUUACCACGUAGAGGUUUCCUUUUAAUAUUUUAUUAAAAAUAUAAAUUUGAAAAAUAAUAAUGAUAAUGUUUAUACAUGUAUUUAUUAAAAAAACAUAAAAUUACUGUCAAGCAGGCUUCAAAAUUCACGACGGAAAAGGCCUUCUCUCCAUCCAUCACUUCUCUCCAUCCAUUACUUGACUCAUCGCAUUUUCAUGCAUCAAAGAAUACCAGUAACAACAGAUAGGAAUACAAUACAUACCAACUCAUAUAACACGCACAACCCUGACCAAUAAAUGGAACCAUAAAUCCAGCUAUUUAAUGCCUCCCAAGUUCACAAGUGAUUAAAGAAAGAUGUCCGUAACAAAAAAUAACAGGAUCAAGUUGAACAGGUGGUGUUGUUGUUGGCAAAUAAAAAAUAAAAAUCAAAAAAGGCCCCCGUGGAACUUCAACUCUUCAAUCCUCAUGUUCAAAAAGCAGAACCACAUUAGGGGAGAGAGAGAGAGAUAGAGAGAGAGUUAUAAGAACUAAUUACAUGAUAAUACAACCUCCCCUUUUCCAAGGAAUCAGAGAAAAAAAU
This 862-nucleotide long non-coding RNA is filed under the name Manihot esculenta (cassava). Its description in RNAcentral is "long non-coding RNA (MESC_LNC012947)". Lineage: Eukaryota; Viridiplantae; Streptophyta; Magnoliopsida; Malpighiales; Euphorbiaceae. The record is from RNAcentral.